AUGGGUUUAAGAAAUAACAGUGAUGCAAGAAAGGAACAUUAAACAAGAACCCCAAAAGGGCAAUCCAAUAAAACAAAGCUAGUAUAUAUACAAAAUUUUAUCAACCAUGUAAAGAAUAACCACUGCCUUCAGGAAAAUUUGCAGUGGUCUUCCCACCUCCCACCAACCAAUCCCAACUGUGACAUCAUUCUAUUCCCUUUCCAGAAAGAAUUCCUAUUAAUACCUUGUCAUCUUCAAUUUAUCCAAUUCCUUGCAUUGUAGUAUUAGACUAUCAAAAGAAGGCUUUUCAAAUCAAGCGAAGGAUCCAGGUUAACUACCUUUGAAAGCAUUCAUCGUCCUACAUGAAGAUCUUCAGAGGAAACUGCUGCUCGAGGCAUGUUGUCAUUAUCAAAAGCACUUAGACCAGAGUAAGGACCUGAAGAGAAUAUCGAAGAUGUCCCAUCAGACUCGAAAGUAGUUGAUGACUGUCUCAUGUUUGGCCGGGUAUUGGAGGCUGACAUGGAAUCCUGAUACUCUGUGACACGCUGCACCAUUUUGAGUGACUGGACCACUUCACCCAUGGUGGGUCGUUGGUUUGCCUCAGGGGCAACACAAGCAGCUGCAAUGGUACAAACCCGUACAAAAUCUUCUUUUGGAUAUUUUCCCCCCAGCCUUGGAUCAGCAAGCUCUUCUAACCUAUCUUUGUCUCUAAGAAUUGGCCUGGCCCAAGUGACAAGGUUUUCCUGCCCAGAUGGUUGUGACAUAUCCACAGGUUUCCUCCCUGUCAGCAACUCAAGGAGAACAACUCCAUAGCUGUAAACAUCACUUUUUACUAGUAGAUGUCCAGUCAUAGCAUAUUCAGGGGCUACAUACCCAAAUGUGCCCAUGACACGAGUAGAAAGGUAAUUUGCUCUCCCUUCAGGUGCCUGUUUCGCAAGUCCAAAAUCAGCAACUUUAGCAUGAAAGUUGUUCUCAAGCAAUAUAUUUGAUGCCUUGAAGUCUCUGUGGAUAACACAAGGUUGUGAGUCCUCAUGCAGGUAUGCAAGACCUCUUGCAGCAUCAAGUGCAAUCUUCAUUCUGGUGUCCCAAUCCAAAGGACAAUUUAGACCCAGAGGACCAUGUAGCCAGGCCUCUAAGCUUCCAUUUGGUACAAGUUCAUAACACAGUAGAUUUUGCGAAGAGUCCCGACUAGUAUAGUAGCCCACAAGCUUCACAAGAUUGCGGUGAUGCAACCUGCUAAGCAUUUCAACCUCAACUAGAAAUUCUU
Molecule: unclassified non-coding RNA, 1246 nt
Filed under: Hevea brasiliensis (rubber tree)
Lineage: Eukaryota; Viridiplantae; Streptophyta; Magnoliopsida; Malpighiales; Euphorbiaceae
Source: RNAcentral